AGAGUUUGAUCAUGGCUCAGGACGAACGCUGGCGGCGUGCUUAACACAUGCAAGUCGAACGAGAUUCAGUGAGUAGCAAUACUCACGAAGAUCUAGUGGCGAACGGGUGCGUAACACGUGAGGAACUUGUCCCGGUCUCUGGGAUAACAGUUGGAAACGACUGCUAAUACCGGAUGACGUCGGAACUUCGCAUGGAGUACUGACGAAAGGGUUACUGGAUCGGGAGAGCCUCGCGGCCUAUCAGCUUGUUGGUGGGGUAAUGGCCUACCAAGGCAUCGACGGGUAGCUGGUCUGAGAGGAUGAUCAGCCACACUGGGACUGAGACACGGCCCAGACUCCUACGGGAGGCAGCAGUGGGGAAUCUUGCACAAUGGGCGAAAGCCUGAUGCAGCAACGCCGCGUGCGGGAAGAAGGCCCUCGGGUUGUAAACCGCUUUCAGAAGGAACGAAACUGACGGUACUUUCAGAAGAAGGUGCGGCCAACUACGUGCCAGCAGCCGCGGUGACACGUAGGCACCAAGCGUUGUCCGGAUUUAUUGGGCGUAAAGAGCUCGUAGGCGGCUCAGUAAGUCGGGUGUGAAAACUUUGGGCUUAACCCAAAGCGUGCAUCCGAUACUGCUGUGACUUGAGUACGGUAGGGGAGCGGGGAAUUCCUAGUGUAGCGGUGAAAUGCGCAGAUAUUAGGAGGAACACCGGUGGCGAAGGCGCCGCUCUGGGCCGAAACUGACGCUGAGGAGCGAAAGCAUGGGUAGCAAACAGGAUUAGAUACCCCAGUAGUCC
This 779-nucleotide ribosomal RNA is filed under the name uncultured bacterium. RNAcentral describes it as "bacterial SSU rRNA". It matches the Rfam family "Bacterial small subunit ribosomal RNA", at positions 8 to 796 of the family's 1533-position model. The record is from RNAcentral.